UAUUGCAGUUGCUUACCUUGAGAACCAAUAUGUGCAUGAAAUUCUAUAUUCUGCAAAGUACUAAAGUUUCAUUAUAUGCAAGUCCCCUAUCUUAGUCUUGGUGGCAUUGGGUUUAAGCUUUAGGUGAACCCAUGACACCUUGACAGUACCAUUAUCAUGCGCACAAUUAUAAAAAUAUUGCUAUUUUAUGCACCUAAAGAUACAAAUAUGAUUUGAGUCAACAAAUAUUCUCCUGAAGUAACCAAUAGUUAAAUUCUUCUAAUAACAGAAAGAGGAAGACAUGUAAGAGCACUCAUUUAGCAAUGCUAGCAAGACAUAGUUGUUGCCCGGUUAGCAAAUUAGGCACUGAAACUCUCUCUAUUGUUUUCAAUUAUUAUUUAUUCUUAUUCUUUGCCUUAUAAGUAUCAUAAGGGUGAACAAAACUUAAGUAAUUG
Molecule: unclassified non-coding RNA, 434 nt
Filed under: Hevea brasiliensis (rubber tree)
Lineage: Eukaryota; Viridiplantae; Streptophyta; Magnoliopsida; Malpighiales; Euphorbiaceae
Source: RNAcentral